CAGGUUUAGUGCAUGGAAAUGCAUACUAAAUUAAUUUAUACUCUGUCAUUGCAAUUUAUUAUAGAGAUUUUAUGUCCCCAGGGAUGACAUAGCAAAAAUAGAAGAAGACCAGAACUGAUGACAAAGAUUGUUAGACAUGGAAAAACAUUCUUAUGAAGAUAGACAUAUAUGAGGAAACAUCCAUUUAAUCAAAGGAUAAUAAAUUCAUAACUGACAAAAGGAAACAUAUUUUUCAACCAUGUAAUUUGCACGCUGUGUGAACUCAUUUCCAAAGAAUGUCAUUGAAGUAGGAUUCCAGAAACAGGAAGUUUUGAGGAUAACAAGAACAUCAGAUAUCAAGUUAGCAGUGGAAGUACUAGAGUUAAGCCUGAAGAAACGUCCUUGACACUUUAUUUAGUUGACAGUAAAACUUUGGUUGCAGAUUCAGACCUAUUCUGCCUGAAAUGCAUUUACAGAUAUACCAGGAAUCACAACAGGCAAGGCAUUUUCUGACAGAUAGGGCUUUUUGUUCUACCGUUAUCUGAACAAAACAAAGCAUGUUGGGGUUAAAAAUGUG
This 556-nucleotide long non-coding RNA is filed under the name Anas platyrhynchos platyrhynchos (common mallard). RNAcentral describes it as "lncRNA (ENSAPLG00000024796.1)". Lineage: Eukaryota; Metazoa; Chordata; Aves; Anseriformes; Anatidae. The record is from RNAcentral.